RNAcentral lists this ribosomal RNA (497 nucleotides) under uncultured bacterium. RNAcentral's name for it is "partial 16S ribosomal RNA". It matches the Rfam family "Bacterial small subunit ribosomal RNA", at positions 28 to 507 of the family's 1533-position model. The record is from RNAcentral.
GAUGAACGCUGGCGGCGUGCCUAAUACAUGCAAGUCGAGCGAACAGACGAGGAGCUUGCUCCUCUGACGUUAGCGGCGGACGGGUGAGUAACACGUGGAUAACCUACCUAUAAGACUGGGAUAACUUCGGGAAACCGGAGCUAAUACCGGAUAAUAUAUUGAACCGCAUGGUUCAAUAGUGAAAGACGGUUUUGCUGUCACUUAUAGAUGGAUCCGCGCCGCAUUAGCUAGUUGGUAAGGUAACGGCUUACCAAGGCAACGAUGCGUAGCCGACCUGAGAGGGUGUUCGGCCACACUGGAACUGGGACACGGUCCAGACUCCUACGGGAGGCACCAGUAGGGAAUCUUCCGCAAUGGGCGAAAGCUUGACGGAGCAACGCCGCGUGAGUGAUGAAAGUCUUCGGAUCGUAAAACUCUGUUAUUAGGGAAGAACAAAUGUGUAAGUAACUAUGCACGUCUUGACGGUACCUAAUCAGAAAGCCACGGCUAACUACGUG